GGUGCUUGCACUGAAUGGAAACCGGCGAACGGGUGCGUAACACGUAUGCAACCUACCUAUAACUGGGGAAUAGCCCGAAGAAAUUCGGAUUAAUACCCUAUAAUAUUUAGUCAUCGCAUGAUGAUUAUCUUAAAACUCCGGUGGUUAUAGAUGGGCAUGCGGCCUAUUAGUUUGUUGGUGAGGUAAUGGCUCACCAAGACUACGAUAGGUAGGGGGUCUGAGAGGAUGAUCCCCCACACUGGUACUGAGACACGGACCAGACUCCUACGGGAGGCAGCAGUAGGGAAUAUUGGACAAUGGACGAAAGUCUGAUCCAGCCAUGCCGCGUGCAGGAUGACGGCCCUAUGGGUUGUAAACUGCUUUUAUAUAGGAAGAAACCUUUUUACGUGUAGAAAGCUGACGGUACUAUAUGAAUAAGGACCGGCUAACUCCGUGCCAGCAGCCGCGGUAAUACGGAGGGUCCAAGCGUUGUCCGGAUUCAUUGGGUUUAAAGGGUCCGUAGGCGGGUCUUUAAGUCAGUGGUGAAAGCCGACAGCUCAACUGUCGAACUGCCAUUGAUACUGGAGACCUUGAGUAC
Molecule: ribosomal RNA, 577 nt
Filed under: uncultured Bacteroidota bacterium
Lineage: Bacteria; Pseudomonadati; Bacteroidota
Description: bacterial SSU rRNA
Rfam family: Bacterial small subunit ribosomal RNA
Source: RNAcentral